RNAcentral lists this ribosomal RNA (1395 nucleotides) under uncultured bacterium. RNAcentral describes it as "partial 16S ribosomal RNA". It matches the Rfam family "Bacterial small subunit ribosomal RNA". The record is from RNAcentral.
UCCUGGCUCAGGAUGAACGCUAGCGGCAGGCUUAACACAUGCAAGUCGAGGGGCAGCGGGGAGGAAGCUUGCUUUCUCCGCCGGCGACCGGCGCACGGGUGAGUAACACGUAUGCAACCUGCCCCUGUCAGGGGGACAACCCGCCGAAAGGCGGGCUAAACCCGCGUACAUGCCACCGGGGCAUCCCGGAGGCAGGAAAGGCUUCGGCCGGACAGGGAUGGGCAUGCGGCGCAUUAGGCAGUAGGCGGGGUAACGGCCCACCUAACCGACGAUGCGUAGGGGUUCUGAGAGGAAGGUCCCCCACACUGGUACUGAGACACGGACCAGACUCCUACGGGAGGCAGCAGUGAGGAAUAUUGGUCAAUGGUCGGGAGACUGAACCAGCCAAGCCGCGUGAGGGAGGAAGGUACAGAGUAUCGUAAACCUCUUUUGUCAGGGAACAAAGGCGGGGACGUGUCCCCGGAUGAGUGUACCUGAAGAAAAAGCAUCGGCUAACUCCGUGCCAGCAGCCGCGGUAAUACGGAGGAUGCGAGCAUUAUCCGGAUUUAUUGGGUUUAAAGGGUGCGCAGGCGGUCUGUUAAGUCAGCGGUCAAAGCCCGGGGCUCAACCCCGGCCCGCCGUUGAAACUGGCAGUCUCGAGUUGGAGAGAAGUAUGCGGAAUGCGCGGUGUAGCGGUGAAAUGCAUAGAUAUCGCGCAGAACUCCGAUUGCGAAGGCAGCAUGCCGGCUCCACACUGACGCUGAGGCACGAAAGCGUGGGUAUCGAACAGGAUUAGAUACCCUGGUAGUCCACGCAGUAAACGAUGAAUGCUGGCUGUCCGGGGGGAUUGACCCCUGGGUGGCGAAGCGAAAGCGAUAAGCAUUCCACCUGGGGAGUACGCCGGCAACGGUGAAACUCAAAGGAAUUGACGGGGGCCCGCACAAGCGGAGGAACAUGUGGUUUAAUUCGAUGAAACGCGAGGAACCUUACCCGGGCUCAAACGGGGAGUGACUCAGGCUGAGACGCCUGUUUCCCACGGGACACUCCCCGAGGUGCUGCAUGGUUGUCGUCAGCUUGUGCCGUGAGGUGUCGGCUUAAGUGCCAUAACGAGCGCAACCCCCGCGUGCAGUUGCUAACAGAUAACGCUGAGGACUCUGCACGGACUGCCGGCGCAAGCCGCGAGGAAGGCGGGGAUGACGUCAAAUCAGCACGGCCCUUACGUCCGGGGCGACACACGUGUUACAAUGGGUGGUACAGCGGGAAGCCAGGCGGCGACGCCGAGCGGAACCCGAAAUCCACUCUCAGUUCGGAUCGGAGUCUGCAACCCGACUCCGUGAAGCUGGAUUCGCUAGUAAUCGCGCAUCAGCCAUGGCGCGGUGAAUACGUUCCCGGGCCUUGUACUCACCGCCCGUCAAG